GUGGGGAAUCUUCCGCAAUGGACGAAAGUCUGACGGAGCAACGCCGCGUGAGUGAUGACGGCCUUCGGGUUGUAAAGCUCUGUGAUCGGGGACGAAUGGCUGGUAUGCUAAUACCAUAUCAGAGUGACGGUACCCGAAUAGCAAGCCACGGCUAACUACGUGCCAGCAGCCGCGGUAAUACGUAGGUGGCAAGCGUUGUCCGGAAUUAUUGGGCGUAAAGCGCGCGCAGGCGGCUUAUUAAGUCCAUCGUAAAAGUGCGGGGCUUAACCCCGUGAUGGGAUGGAAACUGGGAGGCUGGAGUAUCGGAGAGGAAAGUGGAAUUCCUAGUGUAGCGGUGAAAUGCGUAGAGAUUAGGAAGAACACCGGUGGCGAAGGCGACUUUCUGGACGACAACUGACGCUGAGGCGCGAAAGCGUGGGGAGCAAACAGGAUUAGAUACCCUGGUAGUCC
RNAcentral lists this ribosomal RNA (450 nucleotides) under uncultured bacterium. RNAcentral describes it as "partial 16S ribosomal RNA". It matches the Rfam family "Bacterial small subunit ribosomal RNA", at positions 354 to 796 of the family's 1533-position model. The record is from RNAcentral.